UAGGUCAAGAUUUCUGGAAUGGAUCCUGGCUUAAAUCUACAUGGCCCCUGGAUUGGACUGCGGCCGAUCAGGCUGUUGGUGAGGUAAUGGCCCACCAAACCUAUAACCGGUACGGGCUCUGAGAGGAGAAGCCCGGAGAUGGGCACUGAGACAAGGGCCCAGGCCCUAUGGGGCGCAGCAGGCGCGAAAACUCUGCAAUGGGCGAAAGCCUGACAGGGUUACUCUGAGUGAUUUCCGCUAAGGAGAUCUUUUGGCAGCUCUAAAAAUGGUGCAGAAUAAGGGGUGGGCAAGUCUGGUGUCAGCCGCCGCGGUAAUACCAGCACCCCGAGUGGUCGGGACGAUUAUUGGGCCUAAAGCAUCCGUAGCCGGUUGUGCAAGUCCUCCGUUAAAUCCAGCCGCUCAACGGAUGGGCUGCGGAGGAUACUACAGAACUAGGAGGCGGGAGAGGCAAGCGGUACUUAGUGGGUAGGGGUAAAAUCCUUUGAUCCAUUGAAGACCACCAGUGGCGAAGGCGGCUUGCCAGAACGCGCUCGACGGUGAGGGAUGAAAGCUGGGGGAGCAAACCGGAUUAGAUACCCGGGUAGUCCCAGCUGUAAACGAUGCAGACUCGGUGAUGGGCUAGCCUCGUGUCAGCCCAGUGCCGCAGGGAAGCCGUUAAGUCUGCCGCC
RNAcentral lists this ribosomal RNA (668 nucleotides) under uncultured archaeon. RNAcentral describes it as "bacterial SSU rRNA". It matches the Rfam family "Archaeal small subunit ribosomal RNA", at positions 157 to 828 of the family's 1478-position model. The record is from RNAcentral.